AGUAGUUUGAUCAUGGCUCAGAACGAACGCUGGCGGCGUGCUUAACACAUGCAAGUCGAACGCGAAAGCCCGGGCAACUGGGCGAGUAGAGUGGCGCACGGGUGAGUAACACGUGAGUAACCUACCUUCGAGUGGGGAAUAACUCCUCGAAAGGGGAGCUAAUACCGCAUAAGACCACGACCUCUUCGGGGGUUGCGAUCAAAGGUGGCCUCAUCAAGCAGAGUGUUUGGGACGAUCUUCCCGAGCAGAGGAUAGUCCUUAGCGCUUUGCUCAGUGAAGCUGUUGCUCGAAGAGGGGCCCGCGUCCCAUCAGCUAGUUGGUAGGGUGACGGCCUACCAAGGCGACGACGGGUAGCUGGUCUGAGAGGACGACCAGCCACACGGGAAUUGAGAUACGGUCCCGACUCCUACGGGAGGCAGCAGUGGGGAAUCUUGGGCAAUGGGGGAAACCCUGACCCAGCGACGCCGCGUGGGGGAUGAAGGCUUUCGGGUCGUAAACCCCUGUUAGGUGGGACGAACGUCCUCCUGCAAUAGCUGGGGAUUUGACGGUACCACCAGAGAAAGCCCCGGCUAACUCCGUGCCAGCAGCCGCGGUAAUACGAGGGGCAGUGUUGUUCGGAAUUACUGGCCGUAAAGGGCGCGCAGGCGGCUGCAAGUCGAGUGUGAAAUCCUUGGCUUACUGAGGAAUGGCGCUCGAAACUACCUCGCUAGAGCGAAGAUGACUCUCGUGUAGGUGAAUCUGUAGAUUCGAAGACACCGUAGAUAUCRRGAGGAACACCGGUGGCGAAGGCGKCYWYCUGGCCCRWWHCUGACGCUGAGGCGCGAAAGCGUGGAGCACCAGAUAGAUACCUUGGUAGUCCACCGCCUAACGAUGGCAUAGUGUGCGUAUAAUCCGCUGUGCCGUAGCUAACGCAUUAAGUGCCCCGCUUGGGAGUACGGUCGCAAGCUUGAAACUCAAAGGAAUUGACGGGACCCGCACAAGCGGUGGAGCAUGUGGUUCAAUUCGACGCAACGCGAAAAACCUUACCUGGGUUUGACAUGUCGGUGGUAGGAAACCGAAAGGGGCCUGACCCGCAAGGGGAGCCGACACAGGUGCUGCAUGGCUGUCGUCAGCUCGUGUCGUGAGAUGUUGGGUUAAGUCCCGCAACGAGCGCAACCCUUGUCCCUAGUUGCUAACGGAUAAUGCUGAGCACUCUAGGGAGACUGCCGGUGGUAAACCGGAGGAAGGUGGGGAUGACGUCAAGUCCUCAUGGCCCUUACGUCUGGGGCUACACACGUGCUACAAUGGCCGGUACAGAGGGUUCCGAUACCGCGAGGUGGAGGCAAUCCCAAAAAACCGGUCUCAGUUCAGAUUGCAGGCUGAAACCCGCCUGCAUGAAGGCGGAGUUGCUAGUAACCGCUGGUCAGCACACAGCGGUGAAUACGUUCCCGGGCCUUGUACACACCGCCCGUCACGCUAUGGGAGUCGGUAACACCUGAAGUCGCUGAGCUAACCGCAAGGAGGCAGGCGCCGAGGGUGGGAUCGAUGACUGGAGCGAAGUCGUAACAAGGUAACCGUA
RNAcentral lists this ribosomal RNA (1558 nucleotides) under uncultured bacterium. Its description in RNAcentral is "partial 16S ribosomal RNA". It matches the Rfam family "Bacterial small subunit ribosomal RNA". The record is from RNAcentral.